Molecule: transfer RNA, 55 nt
Filed under: Litomosoides sigmodontis
Lineage: Eukaryota; Metazoa; Nematoda; Chromadorea; Rhabditida; Onchocercidae
Description: tRNA-Leu1
Source: RNAcentral
AUAUUUUUAGUAUAAUAAGUAUAUCAGUUUUAGAGUCUGUUGGUUGAGGAGUAUA